UACGGGAGGCAGCAGUGGGGAAUAUUGCACAAUGGGCGCAAGCCUGAUGCAGCCAUGCCGCGUGUAUGAAGAAGGCCUUCGGGUUGUAAAGUACUUUCAGUCGUGAGGAAGGUGUUAAGGUUAAUAACCUUAGCAAUUGACGUUAGCGACAGAAGAAGCACCGGCUAACUCCGUGCCAGCAGCCGCAGUAAUACGGAGGGUGCGAGCGUUAAUCGGAAUUACUGGGCGUAAAGGGCACGCAGGCGGUUAAUUAAGUUGGAUGUGAAAUCCCCGGGCUUAACCUGGGAAUGGCAUUCAAGACUGGUUAGCUAGAGUCUUGUAGAGGGGGUAGAAUUCCAUGUGUAGCGGUGAAAUGCGUAGAGAUGUGGAGGAAUACCGGUGGCGAAGGCGGCCCCUGGGACAAAGGACUGACGCUCGAUGUGCGAAAGCGUGGGGAGCAAACAGGAUUAGAUACC
This 455-nucleotide ribosomal RNA is filed under the name uncultured bacterium. Its description in RNAcentral is "bacterial SSU rRNA". It matches the Rfam family "Bacterial small subunit ribosomal RNA", at positions 340 to 786 of the family's 1533-position model. The record is from RNAcentral.